GACGAACGCUGGCGGCGUGCUUAACACAUGCAAGUCGAACGGAAAGGCCCUGCUUUUGUGGGGUGCUCGAGUGGCGAACGGGUGAGUAACACGUGAGUAACCUGCUCUUGACUUUGGUAUAACUUCAGGAAACUGGGGCUAAUAUCGGAUAGGAGCUCCUGCUGCAUGGUGGGGGUUGGAAAGUUUCGGCGGUUGGGGGUGGACUCGCGGGUUAACAGCUUGUUGGUGGGGUAGUGGGUUACCAAGGCUUUCGCGGGUAGCCGGCCUGAGAGGGUGACCGGCCACAAUGGGACUGAGGGAAGGCACAAGCUGCUACUGGAGGCAAGAGGGGGGAAGAUUGAAAAAGGGGCGGAAAGCGGGUGCAGAAGGGCCGCGGGCGGGAAGACGGGCUUCGGGGUGUAAAACGGUUUCGAGUGUGACGAAGCGUGAGUGGACGGAAUGGGAAGAGAAAGAACGGGUAAAUAAGGGG
Molecule: ribosomal RNA, 469 nt
Filed under: uncultured bacterium
Lineage: Bacteria
Description: partial 16S ribosomal RNA
Rfam family: Bacterial small subunit ribosomal RNA
Source: RNAcentral